Molecule: long non-coding RNA, 662 nt
Filed under: Fukomys damarensis (Damara mole-rat)
Lineage: Eukaryota; Metazoa; Chordata; Mammalia; Rodentia; Bathyergidae
Description: lncRNA (ENSFDAG00000024829.1)
Source: RNAcentral
AUGGGAAAUAAAUUUAUUUAUUUAAAUGUCUGUGACAUUUUUGUUAUAGCAGUCCAAAAUAGUAAAUACCCGUCUACUUCUUCAGCCUUUUCUGUACAGGAGGAAAGAGCUGAUGGAUUUUAUGAGAGUCUGAGCCUCUUCGUGCCGUAUUUCCCAGUGUCAAGGAUGUACACAGAACUUUCCUGCUGUCUGACCCUUCCUGCCACUGCUUCCUCAGUGCCUUCUGUUUGUUGAAAUAUACUAGAUCACCUGUAGCCCCUGAAUAUGCUGCUUUGUUUUGCAGUUUUAUCCUUUAUUCCAGUCUGUCUUCCUGCCUGACUCUGAGGACUUUCCAGCACAUGUUCUAAGAUUCAGUUAGGUGCUGCAGCAAGCCCUGCUCCCACCAGGCUGAGCUAAAAGACUAGUUCCACAUGUUCACAACGGCAUUCAUUCCGUCACUACGUUCAUCAUGUUAAUAUGAAACUUUGUGUGUGUGUUCAUCUGAAAUAUAGCUUCUUUGAAAGUAUUCUCUUGUUCACUCUUCAUACCACUACGGUGUUUGUUACAUGGUAGGUUCUGCCAUGUCUACUUGACUGAACCAGCUGUCCUGAAACCUCUAGUCUCAGGGAGCUGGACAGCAGUCUCACUGUCCCAACACUAUGUAUCCAGCUCCCAUAAUCUCA